This is a long non-coding RNA of Megalobrama amblycephala (Wuchang bream), 821 nucleotides long. RefSeq lists it as uncharacterized. The transcript is spliced from 3 exons. NCBI's taxonomy places the organism in Eukaryota, Metazoa, Chordata, Actinopteri, Cypriniformes, Xenocyprididae. The record is from RefSeq and is a predicted model, not a curated record.
GUUGAUGUUUCAACAGUGAUAAAUUAUUAAAUGUAAAAUGGUUGAAAUAGUUUUAGAAAAUCACCUAUAAAUCAAUGCCGAAAUAAGCUCGUAAACUAUACCUUAAAAAAACAAGUGUUUAACCAUAUAUAAUAAUAAUAAUAAUAAUAAUCAUGUAUAAAAUGUGCCCUAUUAUGCCUAUUUUGCCACUUCUGUGUCAGUUUGUGGGUACGUCAAUAUUUCAGAAAAUAGAAAUUAUAUGCUCAUUUUCAUUUUUUUUGCGGUCUGAAGAGAGAUCGCGAGAUUACACGAGACUAUAAGAUAGCAAACACUGGAGCGGAUCUGAGUUACCAUGGAAACGGGGAAACGUCAAGCAUCAAGACUCCGUCUCGCUGUUGUUUUCACUGAUUUUAGGGGUGACAGAAAACCCUCUCUACAACAAAGAGGAAGCUGACAGAGGAGGAGGAAACACAGAUCCGCCAUCAGUUGUUUACCAGUAUGGAGACCAGCUAAGACCAACUGGGAGGUUUUGUUCAUACUUUUUAUUGUGCAUUGUCAUGAUUUCUGCUUUGAUUUGUUAUGAAUCCAGGUCUCUCUUUUUUUGUUGCAUCAUGAUAAAUAAAAUGGAUGUAAUUUAUUGUGACAGUGAAUAAAAAAUAUAUUGAUAUACAUGGACUCAAGUCACUUAUUUGGAAUUUAUUAAAUUCUGUAGCAUACAUGUAAAAUAAAACUAAAAUAAAUUACAGUAAAAUUACUGUAAUAUUAUUAUACUGUAAAAAUAAGUUGCGGUAAGGGCAUCAUACUGUAAAAUUAAAUUGCGGUAAGGGUAUCUUACUGUAAAA